AGCCGGGUAGCCAAGCGGUUACGGCAACAGGCUUUGACCCUGUGAUCGACGGUUCGAUCCCGUCCCCGGCUGCCA
This 75-nucleotide transfer RNA is filed under the name Bilophila wadsworthia 3_1_6. RNAcentral's name for it is "tRNA-Gln". It matches the Rfam family "tRNA". From Rfam's summary of the family: Transfer RNA (tRNA) molecules are approximately 80 nucleotides in length. Lineage: Bacteria; Pseudomonadati; Thermodesulfobacteriota; Desulfovibrionia; Desulfovibrionales; Desulfovibrionaceae. The record is from RNAcentral.